Molecule: long non-coding RNA, 666 nt
Organism: Drosophila virilis
Lineage: Eukaryota; Metazoa; Arthropoda; Insecta; Diptera; Drosophilidae
Source: RefSeq, a predicted model, not a curated record
CAAACGACAAAUUAGUAAUUGAAAUUUGAAGUUCAAGUUAAGUGAGCUCACUCCAGAGACUAAGACAAGCUUUUGGUCUUUGCACAUUGUCACGCACAAAGCCCAAAAACCUAUGGGAUAGAGGGCCAACUCUUUUAAGUCGAAUACUUUUCAAGUCCAACAGUUCAGUUAAUACCUAUGGACACUUGUGUUAAAUAAGAAUGAUUUCUCUUCGUGAAGGCCCAACAAGAGUUAGAUAAAAAUGUCACGCAUUGAUUAGCUAAGCAAAACGGUAAAACAACAACCCCUCAACGGGACAGCGACAGCGGAAAAGGGUUGGAAACUAUAAGGCUAGGCUACAGCAGGGCAGCUGGGGCAAGCUGGAAGCCAUCCAUCAUUUGCAUAAAACUGAAGCUGAAGCAUUUAGGGCACGGGACUGAGAGAUGCAGGCUGACAACUGCAAAGCACUCGGAGUUCUUCUAUUACCAACAUCCGCACGCACACACACAUAAAUCAACUGCUGUGCCCAGUUACAGUUACAUUUAUGUAGUGUGUAAUAUGGGAUUGAAGCUGGAUUUAUGUUCCAUAAGCUUAGGCGUGAGUAUUCUAGCAUAUGUCGUUUGCAUACAUUUUAAAUGGCACGAAUAAAAACUCAAUCCAGACCUAAUGGAUUGUUUAAAAAUAUGA